AGGACAAACGCUGGCGGCGUGCCUAAGACAUGCAAGUCGGACGGGAGGCUUCGGCCUCUAGUGGCGGACGGGUGAGGAGCGCGUGGAGAACCUGCCCCGGGGUGGGGGAUACCCGCCAGAAAUGGCGGUUAAGACCGCAUACGAAUGCACCGUGCAGGCGGUGUAGGGAAAGCAGUGAUGUGCCCUGGGAGGGCUCCGCGUCGGAUUAGCUGGUUGGUGGGGUAACGGCCUACCAAGGCGACGAUCCGUAGCUGGUCUGAGAGGACGGCCAGCCACACUGGGACUGAGACACGGCCCAGACUCCUACGGGAGGCAGCAGUUAGGGAAUUUUGACAAUGGGCGCAAGCCUGAUCGAGUGACGCCGCGUGCGGGAUGACGCCUUUCGGGGUGUAAACCGCUUUUCCCAGGGACGAGGAGGGACGGUACCUGGGGAAGAAGUCUCGGCUAACUACGCGCCAGCAGCCGC
RNAcentral lists this ribosomal RNA (466 nucleotides) under uncultured bacterium. RNAcentral describes it as "SSU rRNA". It matches the Rfam family "Bacterial small subunit ribosomal RNA", at positions 26 to 518 of the family's 1533-position model. The record is from RNAcentral.